This is a long non-coding RNA of Xiphophorus couchianus (Monterrey platyfish), 95 nucleotides long. RefSeq lists it as uncharacterized. The transcript is spliced from 4 exons. The record is from RefSeq and is a predicted model, not a curated record. NCBI's taxonomy places the organism in Eukaryota, Metazoa, Chordata, Actinopteri, Cyprinodontiformes, Poeciliidae.
CUCUGUGGAGCUUAACUACAUACUAGUGAGGCAGUUUCACUAUUUAAUUCAAGUGUGUAGGACAAGGGACACAUUUAAAAUUUGCAACACUCCAG